GAUGAAGAACGUAGCGAAAUGCGAUAAGUAAUGUGAAUCGCAGAAUUCAGUGAAUCAUCGAAUCUUUGAACGCACAUUGCGCCCGGCAGUACUCUGCCGGGCAUGCCUGUUCGAGCGUCAUUUCAACCCUCAAGCCCUGCUUGGUGUUGGGGUCCCACGGCCGCCGUGGGCCCUGAAAGGAAGUGGCGGGCUCGCUACAACUCCGAGCGUAGUAAUUCAUUAUCUCGCUUAGGGCGUUGGGCGGCGCUCCUGCCGUUAAAGAACCAUCUUUAACUCAAGGUUGACCUCGGAUCAGGUAGGAAUACCCGCUGAACUUAAGCAUAUCAAUAAGCGGAGGA
RNAcentral lists this unclassified non-coding RNA (338 nucleotides) under soil metagenome. RNAcentral describes it as "partial contains 5.8S ribosomal RNA, internal transcribed spacer 2, and large subunit ribosomal RNA". The stretch from base 1 to 120 matches the Rfam family "5.8S ribosomal RNA", at positions 35 to 154 of the family's 154-position model. The record is from RNAcentral.